Molecule: long non-coding RNA, 686 nt
Filed under: Olea europaea (common olive)
Lineage: Eukaryota; Viridiplantae; Streptophyta; Magnoliopsida; Lamiales; Oleaceae
Description: long non-coding RNA (OEUR_LNC000328)
Source: RNAcentral
UUUGGGGGUUUUUGAUGUAUAUAUUGUCGUCUUUGUUGGAUAUCAAGGUGGGUGCAGUUUCACUAGAGGAAAAGGUGAAGGAGGAAGAUGGGCUGUCAGGUUCGGGUUGCCCGGCGGUGGCAAAGCUGUUGAGGUAGCGGCUUUGGGAGUUGAGGACUCGGAGAAUGGUGGGGUUUAGGGUUUUCAAGACUCUUGUCACAGCCGUAGAUGCCAUUUUCACUAUUGGGGGUAUGGCUAGGUGCAGGGACAAAUCUAGGAAUUUUCGGCACAAGGGCUAAAAUUCAUUUGGGAGGUUGAAUUCCAUCUGCAAAUUCCUAAAAUUAGAGGGGAAAAAAGGGGGCCAUCAGUUAUACAUUAAUUCGCAAUUCGCUUAAAACAACUUUUCUACCACUUUUUAGUAAUACAGCUUUUCUAUUGCUUUUUCAAUUAACUUUGCAAUUUUCUUGAUUUGCAUCCAAUUAAUUAAUAAUACUGCUUAAUCCCAAUGGGUGUAUGCAUUUAGUUUGCACUUUCUUCUUCAGGACUUCACAAUUAAGUUCUUCGCAAUGAAAAAAGAAAAAUUGUGCGGCUAAUUCUAUUAUUAAUUCUUUUGCUUUUCUACUACUCUUCUGUUCUAAUCCGUAACCAUUUUUUCCUUUUUAUGAAAUUUUAUUAAGAAGUUGAAAUUUAUUGGUAGCUAUAAAUAU